UCCUUCGGGGGGCAGCAGUGGGGGAUAUUGCACAAUGGGGGAAACCCUGAUGCAGCGACGCCGCGUGUGGGAAGACGGUCCUCUGGAUUGUAAACCACUGUCCCCAGGGACGAAGAUGACGGUACCUGAGGAGGAAGCUCCGGCUAACUACGUGCCAGCAGCCGCGGUAAUACGUAGGGGGCAAGCGUUAUCCGGAUUUACUGGGUGUAAAGGGAGCGUAGGCGGCAGUGCAAGUCAGAAGUGAAAGCCCGGGGCUCAACUCCGGGACUGCUUUUGAAACUGUACAGCUUGAUUGCAGGAGAGGC
RNAcentral lists this ribosomal RNA (305 nucleotides) under uncultured bacterium. RNAcentral describes it as "bacterial SSU rRNA". It matches the Rfam family "Bacterial small subunit ribosomal RNA", at positions 337 to 658 of the family's 1533-position model. The record is from RNAcentral.